GACGAACGCUGGCGGCGUGCCUAAUACAUGCAAGUCGAACGCAUUUUCUUUCACCGUAGCUUGCUACACCGAAAGAAAAUGAGUGGCGAACGGGUGAGUAACACGUGGGUAACCUGCCCAUCAGCGGGGGAUAACACUUGGAAACAGGUGCUAAUACCGCAUAAUUCCAUUUACCGCAUGGUAGAUGGGUGAAAGGCGCUUUUGCGUCACUGAUGGAUGGACCCGCGGUGCAUUAGCUAGUUGGUGGGGUAACGGCCUACCAAGGCUGCGAUGCAUAGCCGACCUGAGAGGGUGAUCGGCCACACUGGGACUGAGACACGGCCCAGACUCCUACGGGAGGCAGCAGUAGGGAAUCUUCGGCAAUGGACGCAAGUCUGACCGAGCAACGCCGCGUGAGUGAAGAAGGGUUUCGGAUCGUAAAACUCGGUUGUUAGAGAAGAACAAGGAUGAGAGUGGAAAGUUCAUCCCUUGACGGUAUCUAACCAGAAAGCCACGGCUAACUACGUG
RNAcentral lists this ribosomal RNA (507 nucleotides) under uncultured bacterium. RNAcentral describes it as "partial 16S ribosomal RNA". It matches the Rfam family "Bacterial small subunit ribosomal RNA", at positions 28 to 507 of the family's 1533-position model. The record is from RNAcentral.